Molecule: non-coding RNA, 84 nt
Organism: Citrus sinensis (sweet orange)
Lineage: Eukaryota; Viridiplantae; Streptophyta; Magnoliopsida; Sapindales; Rutaceae
Source: Rfam
GAGCGAUGAAGUUAACUCACAAGUAAUGGAUGGGUCCAUUACUACCGUCCAAUAACUUGGCGAUAGCAAGUGCCGUCUGAGCUC